This 73-nucleotide transfer RNA is filed under the name Russula lepida. Its description in RNAcentral is "tRNA-Asp". It matches the Rfam family "tRNA". Rfam says of the family: Transfer RNA (tRNA) molecules are approximately 80 nucleotides in length. Their secondary structure includes four short double-helical elements and three loops (D, anti-codon, and T loops). Further hydrogen bonds mediate the characteristic L-shaped molecular structure. tRNAs have two regions of fundamental functional importance: the anti-codon, which is responsible for specific mRNA codon recognition, and the 3' end, to which the tRNAs corresponding amino acid is attached (by aminoacyl-tRNA synthetases). tRNAs cope with the degeneracy of the genetic code in two manners: having more than one tRNA (with a specific anti-codon) for a particular amino acid; and 'wobble' base-pairing, i.e. permitting non-standard base-pairing at the 3rd anti-codon position. Lineage: Eukaryota; Fungi; Basidiomycota; Agaricomycetes; Russulales; Russulaceae. The record is from RNAcentral.
GGGAUCUUAGCUUAAUAGGUAGAGUUUUUAAUUGUCAUUUAGAAGGGUUCCAGUUCGAAUCUGGAAGAUCUCG